RNAcentral lists this small nuclear RNA (115 nucleotides) under Corchorus capsularis. RNAcentral's name for it is "snRNA U5". It matches the Rfam family "U5 spliceosomal RNA". From Rfam's summary of the family: U5 RNA is a component of both types of known spliceosome. The precise function of this molecule is unknown, though it is known that the 5' loop is required for splice site selection and p220 binding, and that both the 3' stem-loop and the Sm site are important for Sm protein binding and cap methylation. Lineage: Eukaryota; Viridiplantae; Streptophyta; Magnoliopsida; Malvales; Malvaceae. The record is from RNAcentral.
AGCCGUGCGGUGAGCACAGAGCGAACUAUUCUUUCGCCUUUUACUAAAGAAUACCGUGUGCUCGCCGCCUCAAGCGGCAUACGCCUAUUUUUGGGAGGCCUUUUCGUUUUGGAUU